GACGAACGCUGGCGGCGUGCCUAAUACAUGCAAGUAGAACGCUGAAGAGAGGAGCUUGCUCUUCUUGGAAGAGUUGCGAACGGGUGAGUAACGCGUAGGUAACCUGCCUUGUAGCGGGGGAUAACUAUUGGAAACGAUAGCUAAUACCGCAUAACAAUGGGUGACCCAUGUCAUUCAUUUGAAAGGGGCAACUGCUCCACUACAAGAUGGACCUGCGUUGUAUUAGCUAGUAGGUGAGGUAACGGCUCACCUAGGCGACGAUACAUAGCCGACCUGAGAGGGUGAUCGGCCACACUGGGACUGAGACACGGCCCAGACUCCUACGGGAGGCAGCAGUAGGGAAUCUUCGGCAAUGGGGGCAACCCUGACCGAGCAACGCCGCGUGAGUGAAGAAGGUUUUCGGAUCGUAAAGCUCUGUUGUAAGAGAAGAACGAGUGUGAGAGUGGAAAGUUCACACUGUGACGGUAACUUACCAGAAAGGGACGGCUAACUACGUGCCAGCAGCCGCGGUAAUACGUAGGUCCCGAGCGUUAUCCGGAUUUAUUGGGCGUAAAGCGAGCGCAGGCGGUUAGAUAAGUCUGAAGUUAAAGGCUGUGGCUUAACCAUAGUACGCUUUGGAAACUGUUUAACUUGAGUGCAGAAGGGGAGAGUGGAAUUCCAUGUGUAGCGGUGAAAUGCGUAGAUAUAUGGAGGAACACCGGUGGCGAAAGCGGCUCUCUGGUCUGUAACUGACGCUGAGGCUCGAAAGCGUGGGGAGCAAACAGG
RNAcentral lists this ribosomal RNA (765 nucleotides) under uncultured Streptococcus sp. RNAcentral's name for it is "bacterial SSU rRNA". It matches the Rfam family "Bacterial small subunit ribosomal RNA", at positions 28 to 776 of the family's 1533-position model. The record is from RNAcentral. Lineage: Bacteria; Bacillati; Bacillota; Bacilli; Lactobacillales; Streptococcaceae.